CUACCUGACGAACCAGUGCAAUCUCAGACAUCCUUUCCUCUAUUCAUAUUCUUGACUGCUUCCCUCUGUAUAAGGCAUGGGAAAUGUCUUAUUGGGCAAUUCAACUGUGCUGUAAUGCGAUUAUAACAACUAGUCCUAUUAAGCGAAUCUGUCAGGAGAUUUUUUUCGCUCAUUUUUGCUCAUAUUUCUGAUCCGAAAUCCAAUUCUCAAAACUACUUAUUCAAACUCCACAACAUUUCUCAGCAGCGGAAGUUGUAGUGAAUGGGAGAGUACCACAAAUAUUUUUUUCCAUUCCCAUUUGCUCAAAUAGCCAAAAAUAGCCACAAAAUAGGAAAAAAUAUAGAACUGAAUGCAGUCAGCAGAGAGAAUGAAAUCAAGUUUACAGAAGCUGCAUAAGAAACACCCCCACAUUAGCAUUAACUAGUUUUUUUUCUUGUAAUUUGAUACAAAGGCAGUAUAAUACCAAAUAUAAUCUUAUAAAUGUACAUUAGUUUAAAAAAUAUAAAUACAUAUGAAAAACUUUCAAGGAUUAACGAUGCUGAAGACCGUGAUAGUAUGGGCGUGGUUUAAGAGAGCACACCACGUGCGUUUUCAAACAGCGUGACUAACGGACGGACGACUUCAGAGCUACUUCGAAUUUCAGUGGCAAUUUUACAAAAUAUAUCCCUCAUGGAGUCUGACCGGGACUGGUAUCUCCCGACAUUCUCUGAAGCUUAGGUCCACUAAGAUGUCCCGUUGAUUGAAGCUGACAUGGAGUCACAGUGACAUCCUUAAAAACUGUUGUCAUGUAUAAUACAUCUCUGCAUCUUAAAAUAUUUCUCUGCAUCUUUAAAUAUUUGUUUUUUUGAUUUUUUGUCUAUGUUUUAGAUUUAAGUGUUUAAGCUGUUUUCAUGAAAAAAUAUUGCCAUGUCUACCUUUUUUUUAUGAAUGUUCUAAAUAUUUUGAAUAAUUUCAAUCCAUUUAAAAAUCUUAAAGUUCUUAAUUUUGUUUUGUUUUGAUUGUUUUUCAUGUUUUAUAUUGAUGUG
This is a long non-coding RNA of Triplophysa dalaica, 1025 nucleotides long. RefSeq lists it as uncharacterized. The record is from RefSeq and is a predicted model, not a curated record. Lineage: Eukaryota; Metazoa; Chordata; Actinopteri; Cypriniformes; Nemacheilidae. The transcript has 3 exons.